This is a long non-coding RNA of Calypte anna (Anna's hummingbird), 1952 nucleotides long. RefSeq lists it as uncharacterized. The transcript is spliced from 3 exons. The record is from RefSeq and is a predicted model, not a curated record. NCBI's taxonomy places the organism in Eukaryota, Metazoa, Chordata, Aves, Apodiformes, Trochilidae.
GGGAAGGUUGGGGGAAGAGCGCCCCGCGUCACGUGACGCCACCUCACCCCUCCUCCUCCUUUCCCGCCCAGCUGCCCGCGCGCGCAGCUCGGUCGCUUCUCCCCUCAGGAGGAGCCCGGGAUGAGGGGGGGGGGGGGGAAGCGGCUGACGGGAUCCCCCCAGGAUCCUGCCUCUCCCUGGGGAAAAGGGACAACGGCAAUGCCCCAGAGAGGCGUCUCGGGGUGCCCCCCCGGUCUCCCCCGAGGUUAGAGCUCUGCCCUCAGCGCUUCGCAGUCUGGGAGUUGAGAACUGUCAGCGCUUUCCCCUCAGGUGGGCACGGGAGAGGUGAGAACGGGAGAAAUGGCCUCUACCCCCCCUCCGGCAGCCCGCUGCGUCUGUAGGCUCUGCCUGAGCCUCUCAACCCCCCUCAUACCUCCCAGAGGAUCGGGGCUUUCCUCAGAAAGUCCUCUAAGGAGAAGUACGGAGUGACAGGAGGAAGUUCCGGUGCCAUUAAAAUGUCCUUUCGGUGCCUGGAACAGAAACACGGACUGAAUGACAGAAACCACUGUGUCGUUGGAAUGGAAGCAAAGGAUUCCUCUGCAGUUCCAUCCUCAGCAGCAAAGAAAAAAAAAUGUUGUGACAAGAGGAAGUGCAAAUAAUUAAUAACAGCAGAUCAAAAGAAAGGAGUGUCUUUGCAAGAAGUGACUAAUGAUUACUCAGUUUCAGACAAGUCCAAAUUGCAUUGUAGCAAGAGGACACUUGGAUUGCCCCCAGAGUGCAACAGCAAACCCGAGGCUCAGCAGGCAGCAGCUUACCACUGUGGCACAACAGGGCAGCUUUCCCUUUCAAAGAGAGAGCUGCUUUCUUCUCAGCUCAACAGCUGCUCCACACAGGGUCUCCAACAUCUUUGCUGUUUGAUUGUUGUAUAUAGAAAAAGCAAGAGCAAAGCAUAAAACAUGUAAGGACUCCAUGGAACAUUUUGCCAGCAGCUGACACAAUGGAAAGCACAUCUCAGAGCAGCAGGACAGCAGAGGAAAACAAAAACUAUGAAGCCAGCACCAUCGUGUCAUUUGGCACAUCCUUGCACUUCCCUUGAUUCUGUUUCAGAUCUUGGAAGGGAAAGCCAAAGCAUCUUAUUUGCUUAAUUAAGGCUUCACAUGUUUCAAACACUGAACAAAGGACAUCCCCAAAUAGAGGAACCUGCCAGCCUUCCUGGCACUGCCAAGAGACUGAUGUCUCAGUUCAACACUUUGACAACACAGAUAGUGAAAGAACUCUGGACAAUUACACACACAGAUGUGUAUGCACAAACUGAUGGUGAUCCAGAAGUUACACCUCCCUGCUUCAGGACACUCCAGACUCCCUACAGAGAUUAAAAAAAAGACAUGAAAAUAACAGACCUGUAUUUUAUGCUGUGAAACAGCUAAUGAUAGUAAUUAAAGAUUUCAAAGUUCUUUUCCAAGCAGCAUUAUCUAAGUAUCAUGCCUGUAAUCUGUCCAGAGACUCAAUGAAGAACUGCUGAUCAAGCCACCAAAACAACAAAAAAGGUCCAGUGGCUUGCCAUCUGCUCCAACCACUACCUCACACCUCAUUCCCCUGUAUGCAGCAGUAAGCCACAACAGGAUGCUGAUGACCAGAUUGUCUACCUGUCAUUUCAGCUCAACACUCAGUGGCUGUUGAUGUCAGCUCUCCAAACUAAACAUGACAGAUCACUGCUGGACAAAUGGCUCCUUCAACUUUAGGGCUUGCCAUUUUUGUGGAUCAAUUCUAUCCAUGCAGCCAGGCUGCAAGAUGCAAAGUAUGGAGGAGGCUGAUAAUGUUCCUUCAGUUCCUGAGUGCUUCAGGCAGCUUAAAAGAUAUGACAUGAGCAAACACCAUUAAAAACAUGAAGAGAAACAUCUGCAGAACUGUUGGAAUGUAAAAUGAUGUAGGAACACCUGAAGAUCUGUCUGUUGACAGAGGGGCAUCCAGCA